GGUGAAGACCGAGCACACGCGUCCGUAUCUGGAUACGGGUGUCACGUACAUUAACGAAGGGCAGCACGUCACCCAUGGAAUGCUCUGGAAGGCAAGCGAGCCGUUGCAGACGCAGCUGGGGUGAAUGGGAGAACAGUGUGCGGUUUCCUCAAGGUAAUCGACAACAGAGCUGCCCUGCGGCCCAGGAUUGCCCUACGAGGAAAUCAGAGCACACGGAGCACCUGGCCGGGAGGGGACCCGGAGCGCUUCUUUUCGCGUUUGGAAAGAUGACAACCAUGGGAUGUCAGAAACCCCACUCGUGCGCAGUUUUUAAAAAGAGGGAAUCUGCGAUCCACGAUUGUUUGACAUUUGCUGAUACCAUGAAAGGAGCGCAGAGGGAAGGUGGAGGGAAUCUUGUUCCCAUUGAAUUUUUAUUCAAAGCAUCGGUCCCUGUGAAGGACACUUGAAAUGAUCGAACGAACAUUCUUCUGUGUCUCUCGUUCUCACGGCCCCACACGCUCCCCGAGCUGCUCUGUGCCCGGCUCGGUGCUCUCUUGGUGAGAGAACAGCUUUUCACUCUGGACGUGCCAAGGUGUGUCCUUCUCUUUAGGACUUUUCUGUGGACAAGUUGUCAGAGGCUGUUUGUUCUCUUGAGCUCUCUGGUUUCCUUUUAUUUCGGAGAACUGGGUAGUCCCAGAACUGGUCUGUUCUGACUGUGUGGGAAGGAAAGGCUUUUUCUCAUCUUGAUAUAUCAGGUUUCCGUAUGGGCCUGGGCGCUGCAUUCUUAGGACCCAAAGAUUUCUGUGGAAGUUGUUAGCUUUCAUCCGCGGCCGGUUUCUUCCCUGGGAAGUUCAGAAUUCAAGGGCGCUCCUCUCUUGGACAUGCUACCCCGGUCUGGUGCUGCCCGUGAACACGGUUGAUCUGUGUCUCUUUGUUCCACUAGGACUCCUCGCUUCUGGACUCGGUGUCGAUGCCUCCGCCAUCAGUCACGCGGCCUCUGUUGCCAGCGAGGGUUGGGGUGUUGCUUUCCCGGCUGUGGAUUUCACCCUCAAUAAGGGUAACUGGCCAAUGUUUCUUACCUUUACUUUUUUUACAUUUUGGAAUAUUUUCAGACACAAAUGUGUAAAGGAAUACCCAGACAGAGCAAAUGUGAACGUAUUUCAUAACAUCAUAUCAUCCUAGAAAUUUAACAUGGAAAUACGGACACCGUACUGUUACCUAAUGACUACUUAAUGCCAACAAUUAACACUAAUGUUCUGUUUCUCAUGUUUCUGGACCCAAGCCACAAUCCCAUAUGGCACGUAGUUAUCCUCUUUCGCACUCUUUAAUCUGAAACAGGGCUUGUUUUUCAACAUCUUUCCACUUUUAAAAGGUAUGAUGUAGUUAUGCUGUAGAAUGUCCUCCCAUCUGGUGUCUUUAAUUCCUCGAUGAAACCCACAAUACGCCCUUUGGACGUGAGGAUGUUCUCGGUGAACCUCAGAGGCGUCACGUAAUGUCUGUUUUCCUCCUCGUGAGGGAGGGUCACUGUUCAUUUGGUCACGAUGUUGCCUGUGAUGUUUCUCCACGACUAAGAUUUUCUGCUUUAAGAUUAAUGUGUCUCAGGGAGAGUCACUCUGAGAGCGUCACUAUCUUGUCACUGUUAGAAUCUGUUGAUGUUUCUUCUCUGAAACCAUUACGACUGGGAUGUGUGCCUGACGGUUCUAUAUCCAUUAUUCUCCCUAAAUUCACUUUGUCUCCCAUCUGUCAGCAUUAAUUCCGUGUCAGAUUUGUCUCAGAUUUGGUGCUCUCAGCAGCAGCACGUGAGGGAGCUCGCGCUCCCCCGUGAUCUUGCUACCCCACCGUGUUGUUUCACCGGCUCAGUGUUCAUCAGUCUGAGAGUUGACACUGGUGUCCUUCAGCGGUGGAGGAGGGGCAGCAAAGUGUCCCCCAAGCGAGAAGACAUUUGGAAACUGACAAAUGAGACAAGCUACUCGAUGCCAUUUACAGGGCUUUAAAAAAAAUUUUAUUUAUUUAAAUUCAAUUAGCCAAGGGAUAGGACUUCUUUGGUUUUUGAUCUACUGAUCUGAUGAGUCACUCAACAUUACAAUGCCCAGUGCGCAUCAGCUCACAUGCCCUGCUUAACGCGCAUCUCCCAGUUAGCCCAUCCCCCACUCACCU
Long non-coding RNA from Mustela erminea (ermine), 2136 nucleotides. RefSeq lists it as uncharacterized. The record is from RefSeq and is a predicted model, not a curated record. Lineage: Eukaryota; Metazoa; Chordata; Mammalia; Carnivora; Mustelidae. The transcript has 3 exons.